UCAUCAGUGUGUGAGGUGUCCUCUGUGUGUGUGUCUCGUAUACGUGAGGAUGAAAACCAGGGGAAGGGAAAAAUUGAAGCUUGCGAUGUGAUUUUUAAGGUGUUAUCAAGUAAUAAUUAAUUCCUAGUUCAAGAUUUGAUGAGGUGACAAAAGGAUGGAUUAAGAAGAAUAGACCAAGAUUUCCACAAUUCUGUUAACGGUUUUCAAAAAGGUGAGGAACGGAUAGAAUAGAAUAAUAGGUUACUUAAUACGGGAUCGAUCUAGAUAUCUCUCGUAUGGGUAUGCCAUAUGUUGUUUAUAUUUGAAUGCAUAAAAUUACAAGAAAUUAUAGAAUAGAAUAAUGGAUAGUACUCAGAAUGCAUAUAGACAUGUAUGAGGGUACGUAUCUAUUAUAUAUAGAAGGUAAUCCCAAUGGGAUCGAUCUA
Erigeron canadensis is the source of this 425-nucleotide long non-coding RNA. RefSeq lists it as uncharacterized. The record is from RefSeq and is a predicted model, not a curated record. Lineage: Eukaryota; Viridiplantae; Streptophyta; Magnoliopsida; Asterales; Asteraceae. The transcript is spliced from 2 exons.